RNAcentral lists this ribosomal RNA (546 nucleotides) under uncultured beta proteobacterium. Its description in RNAcentral is "bacterial SSU rRNA". It matches the Rfam family "Bacterial small subunit ribosomal RNA", at positions 97 to 639 of the family's 1533-position model. Lineage: Bacteria; Pseudomonadati; Pseudomonadota; Betaproteobacteria. The record is from RNAcentral.
GGCGAACGGGUGAGUAAUACAUCGGAACGUGCCCAGUAGUGGGGGAUAACCAGUCGAAAGACUGGCUAAUACCGCAUACGAUCUACGGAUGAAAGCGGGGGACCGCAAGGCCUCGCGCUAUUGGAGCGGCCGAUGUCGGAUUAGCUAGUUGGCGGGGUAAGAGCCCACCAAGGCGACGAUCCGUAGCUGGUCUGAGAGGAUGACCAGCCACACUGGAACUGAGACACGGUCCAGACUCCUACGGGAGGCAGCAGUGGGGAAUUUUGGACAAUGGGCGCAAGCCUGAUCCAGCCAUGCCGCGUGAGUGAAGAAGGCCUUCGGGUUGUAAAGCUCUUUCGGCGGGGACGAAACGGUCCGGGCUAACACCACGGACUAAUGACGGUACUCGCAGAAGAAGCACCGGCUAACUACGUGCCAGCAGCCGCGGUAAUACGUAGGGUGCGGGCGUUAAUCGGAAUUACUGGGCGUAAAGCGUGCGUAGGCGGCUCCUUAAGUCAGAUGUGAAAGCCCCGGGCUUAACCUGGGAACUGCGUUUGAAACUGGGGA